AAAGAAAUGGUGUUGAAUUUGAUCAGUAUACCCCCCCCCCCCACACCCAUUUUACUUACCCAGACUCUUUUCCUGUGGUUAACUAAGGUCUUUCACAGGUGUGACGUCAGGCUGCAGACUACAAGAAUGCUGGUGCAUCAGAUAAUGAGUACAUUAGUCUGGAUUUCAAGGGACCUGUGCUGCAUAGAAGCAAGGUCAUGGACUCCCCAUCUGGACCGCAAUUCCCAAAAUGCAUUCUGGACAGUCUCCUGACUGACCCAUGCUGUGCUUCUACCAGAUCCGACUGUGGUGUGCCACUAUUUGGGAAGGUGGGGCAAUAAAGGGAAAUAAAACACAAGGUACCA
Molecule: long non-coding RNA, 344 nt
Filed under: Dromaius novaehollandiae (emu)
Lineage: Eukaryota; Metazoa; Chordata; Aves; Casuariiformes; Dromaiidae
Description: lncRNA (ENSDNVG00000018115.1)
Source: RNAcentral